GGAAGGCACACCUUUGUGUCCAGAUCCCAACAGGGCCCGGGACACAAAAGGUGCUGAAGUUUGUUGACUGGCUAAACGGAGUGAGCCGCAAGAGCGCCCAUUAUGUACCAUGCGCUUUCCACUGUGACAUUAUUACAUCCUCCCAGGGAGCCCCCAAAGGCGGAUACUGAGGCUUUGAAAGAUGAAACAAUUAGACUCAGGUCAUCAGCGUCACAGCUAUUCAGCAUAGACCACUUGGUACCAUGUGAACCUGACCUCCAAAUGAGGCAGUCACUGGUGGCUGUCAUUGAGUUGAGUGAGUAUAUCUGCCACCACGGUGUUUGCUACCACUGAGGAACGGACCUAACGACUGCCAUGUCAACAGUGCCACAGGAUCUUCUUUGUACCCCUGUCAAGGACUGGGAAGGGGCUGAGAUUGCCCUCUACGUGCAGACUAAGAAGUGACCCCACCAUUGUUUUGUGCAUGCUGGCAGAAGACACGAGAUUCUUGGAUCAGAGACAAAGGACUUCAUUACUCAUGGCAUAGUAAACAGUGUGAUCAUCAGCCUA
Molecule: long non-coding RNA, 549 nt
Organism: Hyaena hyaena (striped hyena)
Lineage: Eukaryota; Metazoa; Chordata; Mammalia; Carnivora; Hyaenidae
Exons: 3
Source: RefSeq, a predicted model, not a curated record